CACCAAGGAAUGGCAAAAUAUCUUUGCCUUGAGAAAACUCGCACCUUUGGAAAGAAAAAGAGAGAGAAUCGGCUUGGAAGUAAGGAGAGAAAGGAAGAAAGAAAGAAAGAAAGAAAGAAAGGCGAAAGAAAAAAAAGACAAGGAAGGUUCGGCCUAGUGGUUCCAAGCUAAGAAAGGUAAGUAGAACUUUGGUUUUAGUUGGUAAUUGUGUGAGAAUGUUUGUGGUAGAAAAGCUCUUCCAAGAAUUGAAAGAAAUAGAUGCAUGCUUGUGAGUUAAUCUUGGAAUCCAUGGUGAUUUUGAGCUAGAUAAGCUAUGGCGAUAGUGACCAUGGAUGUGAAGAAAUUAUGAACUAGAUAAUGAUCGACUUAGCGUGCAAUCAUUGGCACUUAUGGUUCACUGCGGAUAGGUAAAGACAUCUCAUAGCAUUUCAUUCUAAGUCACUCUGCUGCUAAAGGUCGAAUCAUUCGUAGCAUUAUUUGAUUGUAAAUAGUAUUAAUGUAAAUGUAUGGUGGAUAAUUAAUGUAAAUGUAUGGUGGAUAUUAAAGACC
Molecule: non-coding RNA, 549 nt
Organism: Theobroma cacao (cacao)
Lineage: Eukaryota; Viridiplantae; Streptophyta; Magnoliopsida; Malvales; Malvaceae
Source: RefSeq, a predicted model, not a curated record